RNAcentral lists this ribosomal RNA (468 nucleotides) under uncultured bacterium. RNAcentral's name for it is "partial 16S ribosomal RNA". It matches the Rfam family "Bacterial small subunit ribosomal RNA", at positions 28 to 507 of the family's 1533-position model. The record is from RNAcentral.
GAUGAACGCUGGCGGCGUGCUUAACACAUGCAAGUCGAACGGAAAGGCCCAAGCUUGCUUGGGUACUCGAGUGGCGAACGGGUGAGUAACACGUGGGUGAUCUGCCCUGCACUUCGGGAUAAGCCUGGGAAACUGGGUCUAAUACCGGAUAGGACGAUGGUCUGGAUGCCAUUGUGGAAAGUUUUUUCGGUGUGGGAUGAGCUCGCGGCCUAUCAGCUUGUUGGUGGGGUAAUGGCCUACCAAGGCGUCGACGGGUAGCCGGCCUGAGAGGGUGUACGGCCACAUUGGGGCUGAGGUACGGCCAAGACUCCGACGGGAGGCAGCAGGGGGGAAGAGUGCACAACGGGCGCAAGCGUGAUGCAGCGAGGCCGCGUGGGGGAUGACGGCCUUCGGGUUGUACGCGCCUUUCGCUAGGGACGAAGCGUUUUUGUGCCGGGACCUGGAGAAGAAGCACCGGCUAACUACGUG